GAUGAACGCUGGCGGCGUGCCUAAUACAUGCAAGUCGAGCGAACAGACGAGGAGCUUGCUCCUCUGACGUUAGCGGCGGACGGGUGAGUAACACGUGGAUAACCUACCUAUAAGACUGGGAUAACUUCGGGAAACCGGAGCUAAUACCGGAUAAUAUAUUGAACCGCAUGGUUCAAUAGUGAAAGACGGUUUUGCUGUCACUUAUAGAUGGAUCCGAGCCGCAUUAGCUAGUUGGUAAGGUAACGGCUUACCAAGGCGACGAUGCGUAGCCGACCUGAGAGGGUGAUCGGCCACACUGGAACUGAGACACGGUCCAGACUCCUACGGGAGGCAGCAGUAGGGAAUCUUCCGCAAUAGGCGAAAGCCUGACGGAGCAACGCCGCGUGAGUGAUGAAGGUCUUCGGAUCGUAAAACUCUGUUAUUAGGGAAGAACAAAUGUGUAAGUAACUAUGCACGUCUUGACGGUACCUAAUCAGAAAGCCACGGCUAACUACGUG
RNAcentral lists this ribosomal RNA (497 nucleotides) under uncultured bacterium. Its description in RNAcentral is "partial 16S ribosomal RNA". It matches the Rfam family "Bacterial small subunit ribosomal RNA", at positions 28 to 507 of the family's 1533-position model. The record is from RNAcentral.